RNAcentral lists this ribosomal RNA (431 nucleotides) under uncultured bacterium. RNAcentral describes it as "bacterial SSU rRNA". It matches the Rfam family "Bacterial small subunit ribosomal RNA", at positions 29 to 506 of the family's 1533-position model. The record is from RNAcentral.
ACGAACGCUGGCGGCAGGCCUAACACAUGCAAGUCGAACGCCGUAGCAAUACGGAGUGGCAGACGGGUGAGUAACACGUGGGAACGUACCCUUUGGUUCGGAACAACUCCGGGAAACUGGAGUUAAUACCGGAUAAGCCCUAUGGGGGAAAGAUUUAUCGCCGAAGGAUCGGCCCGCGUCUGAUUAGCUUGUUGGUAGGGUAACGGCCUACCAAGGCGACGAUCAGUAGCUGGUCUGAGAGGAUGAUCAGCCACACUGGGACUGAGACACGGCCCAGACUCCUACGGGAGGCAGCAGUGGGGAAUAUUGGACAAUGGGCGCAAGCCUGAUCCAGCCAUGCCGCGUGAGUGAUGAAGGCCUUAGGGUUGUAAAGCUCUUUCGCGCGCGACGAUAAUGACGGUAGCGCGAGAAGAAGCCCCGGCUAACUUCGU